Molecule: ribosomal RNA, 253 nt
Filed under: uncultured bacterium
Lineage: Bacteria
Description: partial 16S ribosomal RNA
Rfam family: Bacterial small subunit ribosomal RNA
Source: RNAcentral
UACGUAGGGUGCGAGCGUUGUCCGGAAUUAUUGGGCGUAAAGAGCUCGUAGGCGGCUUGUUGCGUCGGAUGUGAAAGCCCGGGGCUUAACUCCGGGUCUGCAUUCGAUACUGCCGUGCUUGAGGACUGGAGAGGAGACUGGAAUUUACGGUGUAGCGGUGAAAUGCGUAGAUAUCGUAAGGAAGACCAGUGGCGAAGGCGGGUCUCUGGACAGUUCCUGACGCUGAGGCACGAAGGCCAGGGGAGCAAACGGG